RNAcentral lists this ribosomal RNA (494 nucleotides) under uncultured bacterium. RNAcentral's name for it is "partial 16S ribosomal RNA". It matches the Rfam family "Bacterial small subunit ribosomal RNA", at positions 28 to 507 of the family's 1533-position model. The record is from RNAcentral.
GACGAACGCUGGCGGCGUGCUUAACACAUGCAAGUCGAACGGAGAGGCCUGCUUUCCCUUUUGGAUUUCGGUUACUCGCGUGGCGAACGGGUGAGUAACACGUGAGUGAUCUGCCCCCAACUUGGUUAUAAGCCUUGGAAACUGCGUCUAAUUCCCGAUAGGACUGCAGGGUUUUCCCUGUGGUGGCAAUCGCUUUUCUAGUGGUUGGGGAUGAGCUCGCGGCCUAUCAGCUUGUUGGAGGGGUAAUGGACUACAAAGGCGGCUACGGGUAGCCGGCCUGGGAGGGUGGACGGGCACAUUGGGACUGGGAUACGGCCCAGCGUGAGACAGGAGGAAGCAGUGGGGGAUAAUGGACAAUAGGCGGAAGGCUGAAGCAGGGGCGAGGGGAGGAGGAUGACGGCCUGUGGGUUGUAAACGCAUGAGGACAGCGAGGAUGCCACCUGGUUGGACGGGUUGUGACGGUAGUGGUAGAAGAAGCACCGGCUAACUACGUG